This 430-nucleotide ribosomal RNA is filed under the name uncultured bacterium. Its description in RNAcentral is "bacterial SSU rRNA". It matches the Rfam family "Bacterial small subunit ribosomal RNA", at positions 917 to 1344 of the family's 1533-position model. The record is from RNAcentral.
GGGCCCGCACAAGCGGUGGAGCAUGUGGCUUAAUUCGAGGCAACGCGAAGAACCUUACCUGGUCUUGACAUGCCCGUCAUAGUUUUCCGAAAGGAAUUCGUCAGUUCGGCUGGACGGUGCACAGGUGCUGCAUGGCUGUCGUCAGCUCGUGUCGUGAGAUGUUCGGUUAAGUCCGGCAACGAGCGCAACCCUCGUUCCUAGUUGCCAGCGGGUAAUGCCGGGGACUCUAGGAAGACAAACCUCGAGUAGAGGUGGGAAGGUGGGGACGACGUCAAGUCAGUAUGGCCCUUACGACCAGGGCUGCACACGUGCUACAAUGCUCGGUACAAUGGGACGCAAUACCGCGAGGUUGAGCAAAUCCACAAAACCGAGCCCAGUUCGGAUUGGAGUCUGCAACUCGACUCCAUGAAGUUGGAAUCGCUAGUAAUGG